ACGCUACCAGAAAUGGUAGUUUCUCUUCGGAGCCUUUGCACAGGUGCUGCAUGGCUGUCGUCAGCUCGUGCCGUGAGGUGUUGGGUUAAGUCCCGCAACGAGCGCAACCUUAUCGUUACUUUGCCAACACGUAAUGGUGGGAACUCUAACGAGACUGCCUGGGUUAACCAGGAGGAAGGUGAGGAUGACGUCAAGUCCGCAUGGCCCUUAUGUCUGGGGCUACACACGUGCUACAAUGGUCGGUACAGAAGGCAGCGAAGCCGCGAGGUGGAGCAAAUCCCAAAAAGCCGAUCUCAGUUCAGAUUGUAGUCUGCAACUCGACUACAUGAAGACGGAAUUGCUAGUAAUGGCGAGUCAGCAACAUCGCCGUGAAUACGUUCCCGGGUCUU
RNAcentral lists this ribosomal RNA (389 nucleotides) under uncultured Parachlamydia sp. RNAcentral's name for it is "bacterial SSU rRNA". It matches the Rfam family "Bacterial small subunit ribosomal RNA", at positions 994 to 1382 of the family's 1533-position model. The record is from RNAcentral. Lineage: Bacteria; Pseudomonadati; Chlamydiota; Chlamydiia; Parachlamydiales; Parachlamydiaceae.